This 376-nucleotide long non-coding RNA is filed under the name Neodiprion pinetum (white pine sawfly). RNAcentral describes it as "uncharacterized LOC124216230". Lineage: Eukaryota; Metazoa; Arthropoda; Insecta; Hymenoptera; Diprionidae. The record is from RNAcentral.
AAUUCCAGCUGUUACGUGUGGAGCAUUGGUAAGAGUUUCAUCUGUAACACAAGGCCUAGCAACUGACUUCAUCUCCCGGCACUAAUGAAUCCAAAUCGUGAUCAACGAAUAACAAGAAAUACAUUAUGGGCACUUGGAGACGUCGGUAUAAAUACUUCCCCGAGGACGAUCAUUGUCGUCCUCCGCAAAUCCGACUUGUACGUACAAUACCUGUAAUACAGUGCGUGCGCGACUCCUGCAGGCAAAGAUCAGGGUCCUGCCGCAAAAGGGAUCUCACCUAAUGACCCGUUUCAACCUUGUCUUUGGGCACGGGGUCAUAAAUUCGCCAUUUCGAUCCGGGGCUUCUUUGUUUAUGCUUGACGAUUAAACGCCGAGU